This 253-nucleotide ribosomal RNA is filed under the name uncultured bacterium. RNAcentral's name for it is "partial 16S ribosomal RNA". It matches the Rfam family "Bacterial small subunit ribosomal RNA", at positions 524 to 776 of the family's 1533-position model. The record is from RNAcentral.
GACAGAGGUGCCGAGCGUUAGGCGGAAUCACUGGGCUUAAAGCGUGUGUAGGCGGAUUCCUAAGUACCUUGUGAAAUCCCAUGGCUCAACCAUGGAACUGCUUGGUAUACUGGGUGUCUUGAGCCAACUAGGGGCUACCGGAACAAAUGGUGGAGCGGUGAAAUGCGUAGAUAUCAUUUGGAACGCCAAUGGUGAAAACAGGUAGCUGGGGCUGUGCUGACACUGAGACACGAAAGCCAGGGGAGCAAACGGG